RNAcentral lists this ribosomal RNA (800 nucleotides) under uncultured bacterium. RNAcentral describes it as "bacterial SSU rRNA". It matches the Rfam family "Bacterial small subunit ribosomal RNA", at positions 8 to 820 of the family's 1533-position model. The record is from RNAcentral.
AGAGUUUGAUCAUGGCUCAGGAUGAACGCUGGCGGCGUGCUUAACACAUGCAAGUCGAACGAUUAAAGCGCCUUCGGGUGUGUAUAAAGUGGCGAACGGGUGAGUAACACGUGACCAACCUACCCCGUGCACCGGGACAACCACCGGAAACAGUGGCUAAUACCGGAUAAUGCUAGAUAAGCGCAUGUUUUUCUAGCCAAAGCACAUACGGCACGGGAUGGGGUCGCGGCCCAUCAGGUUGUAGGCGGGGUAACGGCCCACCUAGCUUUCGACGGGUAGCCGAGCUGAGAGGCUGAUCGGCCACAUUGGGACUGAGAUACGGCCCAGACUCCUACGGGAGGCAGCAGUGGGGAAUUUUGCGCAAUGGGGGAAACCCUGACGCAGCAACGCCGCGUGCGGGAUGAAGGCCUUCGGGUUGUAAACCGCUUUCAGUAGGAAAGAACACAAUGACGGUACCUACAGAAGAAGCCCCGGCUAACUACGUGCCAGCAGCCGCGGUAAUACGUAGGGGGCAAGCGUUAUCCGGAUUCAUUGGGCGUAAAGCGCGCGUAGGUGGACAUCUAAGCGGGACCUCUAGUCCGAAGGCUCAACCUUUACGGCCGGGUUCCGAACUGGAUGUCUCGAGUUGGGUAGGGGAGGUCGGAAUUCCCGGUGUAGCGGUGGAAUGCGCAGAUAUCGGGAAGAACACCGAUGGCGAAGGCAGACCUCUGGGCCUUUAACUGACACUAAGGCGCGAAAGCUGGGGGAGCAAACAGGAUUAGAUACCCUGGUAGUCCCAGCCGUAAACGAUGGGCGCUAGG